AGACACAUAUUUAUUCUUCUUUCGUUCCGCCCCUUGAUAAACCCUUCGCCCUUUCGGUUUGAUCCAAUUUUCGUCUUGCAAGGAAUUGCAACAACACUAUAUAUUAUCUGAUUUUUUCAAAUUUCAGUAUGCAAUCGAAAAUGAUCAGAAGAUCACUUUGUAUUUCAUGCCCCAACAAUUGUAUUCCUUUUCACAUCGACAGGAAGCUCUUCUGUUUGUCCCCAUCCAUCUCUUCGCACUCUGAUAUAGAAGUCCAACUGAGAUUUCUUUGUCAGGCACCCAAUUCUCAGUUCACUGAAGCAGUUUCUUUCUUUCACCGAGCUAUCGAUUCCAGCCGCUUGCCUUCUCAGUCAGCCUGUAAUUAUCUUGUGGAGUCCCUGGUAAAGUCUAAAAAAUACGAAUUGGCCUUUUCUGCUUAUAAUAAGAUGACCAAUGCGGGUAUUUUGCCUAGUUUUGUAUCUUUGAGUCGUUUAAUUGAUUGUUUUGUGCAUACCCAUGAGCUCAAGUUUGCUUUUGGAGUAUUGAGUUUGAUACUAAAGCGUGGUUUUGUUGUUAGCUCCUAUGUUAUGAAUCUGAUGUUAAAGGGUUUGUGUAGAAAUGGUGAAGUUUUUAAGGCUUUGGAUUUAUUUAGCGAGAUGAAAAGGAGUUAUGUUUUGCCGGACAAUGUUAGUUAUAGUACGAUUAUAAAGGGACUUUGCACAGAGAAACGUUUAGAAAAUGCGUUAGACUUGUUAGUUGAGAUGGAGGGAACAAAUUUUGAACCGGAUGUAGUUACAUACUGUAAUUUGAUGGAUGGUCUCUGCAAGGAUGGUAGAGUAGAAGAGGCCAAGGGUUUGCUGGAGAAUAUGAAAAGAAAGGGAUUGGAGGCGAAUGUUAUUGUCUAUGGGGUACUUGUUGGCGGCUAUUGUAAGAUUGGGCAGUGGAAGGAAGCCACUGGUAUGUUAAAUACCAUGAUGGCAAGUGGGAUUCGCCCUGAUGUUCAUAUUUAUACUUGUUUGAUUUCUGGACUUUGCAAAAAUGGAAAGACAACUAAGGCUGUCGAUUUGUUUAAAUUGAUGCUGGGAAGGGGUGAAGAGCCUAGUGUUGUAACAUAUAAUGUUCUAAUAAGUGGACUAUGCAAGGAGGGCCUUGUUGGUGAUGCUUGUAAAAUCUUUGAAAUGAUGUUGGAGAAGGGGAAGAAACCGGAUGUGGUUUCUUGUAAUACCUUGCUGAUGGGACUUUGCAAUAAUGGUAAGGUUGAUGAGGCAAUGAAACUUUUUAGUGCAGUCUUGAAGGAUGUAAAAUAUAUUGAGCCAGAUGUGAUUACAUUUAACUGUCUAAUUCAAGGGCUUUGCAAGGAAGAUCAGCUUGAUGAGGCUGCUGAGAUUUAUAAUAUGAUGAUUGAGAGGGGGAUCUCUGGUAAUUUGAUAACUUAUAAUAUUUUGAUUGGGGAAUAUAUAAAGGCUGGAAAAAUUGGCGAGGCUAUGCAACUAUGGAAACGCAUACAUGAGUUGGGAUUUGUUCCAAACUCGUUUACCUACAGCAUCCUGAUUUCUGGAUUUUGUAAAAUGGGCAUGCUUAAUGUUGCAAAAGGACUUUUUACUAGAAUGAGAGCCUCUGGGAGUAGCCCUACAUUGUUUGAUUACAAUAUGUUGAUUACAUACUUGUGCAAGGAGAGCAGCUUGGAGCAAGCAAGGAAGUUGUUUCAAGAAAUGAGGAACUCAAACUAUGAAUUGGAUAUCAUCGCUUUUAAUACACUGAUUGAUGGGACUCUGAAAGCAGGGAAUAUUCAAUCUGCGGAAGAGUUACUGAAGGACAUGUUUCAAAUGGGUUUGACUCCUGAUGCGUUUACCUACUCCAUAAUAAUAAAUAGGUUCUCAAAACUUGGACAACUAGAACAGGCUAAACUAGCUUUUGAUAGAAUGAUUUCAUCUGGCUUUAAGCCAAGUAUCCAUGUGUAUGAUUCAUUACUUAAAGGUUUUAGCUCACAAGAUGAAGCAGAAGAGAUUAUAAAUUUGCUUCGACAAAUGGCAGAUGAGAAAAUUGUUCUUGACCCAAAAAUGAUAAAUACCAUCUUGAAUUGUCUCUGUCAUAGUUCACUGGGUGCUGAUGUAGUGAAGCUCUUGCCAACAUUCGCCCCAGAAAUAUCAGAAGGGACAAGCAUCUCGUGCAAUGAGUUGCUGAUGAAAAUACAAGAGUCUAUCCCCCAUGAUCCUCUCUAAGAUUUGUGUCUCAUUAAGUGUUGGCCUUGAUUUUUUGCCUAAUCCAGGGAGGGGAAGGGAGAAGAAUUGAACUUGUGAUGAAUUAUGUUAUGCAGCAGGUAAUAAACAUUUUCAAGUGGAAUUUUAUGGUAUGAUUGGACAAAAGUAGCAGGCUUCUCAAAUCAUGUCUUUUUUCAGUGUUGAUUGGUGAAAGGUGACUGGAUUUUGGAUUGGUACCAGUGGGUAUUGAUGAGAUUGGAUUCUGACCAUCUUAAUGUUGGGUCAGUGGAACAAUAUCUGGGCUCUCUGUGGGAUGAUAGCAUCAAGUUGUGUUUUAAAGAAAGGAAAAUAAUCCCCAUCUUCUGAUAAGUCGAGCUUAGAUGCAUCUUGAAUGAACAGAAAAAUAGUGGCAGCUCAAUUAGGAAUGCUUGGAGUUGGGAAAGGAAAUUCAAGAUCUAUGUUAUAAGUGGCUGUGCGGAUGGAGAGGAAGUUCUGGAUUGGUUUGAAUAGAUUCAAACAUCCACAUGCAAUGGGCAAUGGCGCCUGCUAAAGCCUAUCCUUACAAAGGCACAUUUUGUGAGGCUCUUGUUGUUGUGGCAUAGCACAACGUAGCAGCUAGUAUGGAGAUUUUGGAUAUCAUUCUGGAAAUGGAUUUGGAAAACCUCCAUCUGAAGCAUUCUUAUUUUUGGUUAGAUCUCCUAGAAAUUCAGGCAACAUAUCCUCUGUAUUUUUUUUUUCCAAUGCAUUUGACAGGAAGCUAAGCUGGUUGAACAUCAGCUAGUCAUUGUAAAUGUAUGGAUGGUGAAUGUAUUUAGGGAGGGAAUGGGUCCUCCACUAAACUAGAUGAGAUCAGUCCUUUUCUAUCGAUUCAGUUGAAUGGAACAUUCAGAUUUUUUCAUGUUAAUCCGC
Molecule: unclassified non-coding RNA, 3089 nt
Filed under: Hevea brasiliensis (rubber tree)
Lineage: Eukaryota; Viridiplantae; Streptophyta; Magnoliopsida; Malpighiales; Euphorbiaceae
Source: RNAcentral